Molecule: ribosomal RNA, 219 nt
Filed under: Holothuria scabra
Lineage: Eukaryota; Metazoa; Echinodermata; Holothuroidea; Aspidochirotida; Holothuriidae
Description: partial 18S ribosomal RNA
Source: RNAcentral
UCCAGAAGAAAUCAGUUCCAUGGUACUCACUAAAAUGAAGGAAACUGCAGAGGCUUAUCUUGGUCAUCCCGUUACCCAUGCUGUGGUCACUGUACCAGCAUACUUCAAUGAUGCCCAAAGACAGGCAACCAAGGAUGCAGGUGUCAUUGCUGGCCUCAAUGUGAUGAGGAUUAUAAAUGAACCGACUGCUGCUGCUAUUGCCUAUGGGCUCGAUAAGAA